GCAGAAGGAGGUUGGGCUAAAUGACCCAAGGGGUCUCCUCUUACAACCCUUCUUCUUCUUCUUCUUCUUCUUCUUCUUCUUAUUAUUAUUAUUAUUAUUAUUAUUAUUAACAUUGAGGCUGGGUGGCCAUCUGUCAGGGGUGCUUUGCUUGUGCUUUUGCUGCACAAAGGCAGAAAGGGGUUGGACUAAAUGGCCCAAGGGGUCUCUUCCAACCCUCUUUAUUAUUAUUAUUAUUAUUAUUACAGUAGAGUCUCACUUAUCCAACAUAAACAGGCCGGCAGGAUAAGAGAAUAUGUUGGAUAAUAAGAAGGGAUUCAGGAAAAGCCGAUUAAACAUCAAAUUAGGUAAUCGUUAUACAAAUUAAGCACCAAAACAUCAUAUUAUACAACAAAUUUGACAGAAAAAGUAGUUCCAUGCGCAGUAUUGCUAUGUAGUUACAGUAGAGUCUCACUUAUCCAACACUCGCUUAUCCAACGUUCUGGAUUAUCCAAUGCAUGUUUGUAGUCAAUGUUUUCAAUAUAUCGUGAUAUUUUGGUGCUAAAUUCAUAAAUAAAGUAAUUACUACAUAGCAUUACUGCGUAUUGAACUACUUUUUCUGCCAAAUUUGUUGUCUUACAUGAUGUUUUGGUGCUUCAUUUGUAAAAUCAUAACCUAAUUUGAUGUUUAAUAGGCUUUUCCUUAAUGCCUCCUUAUUAUCCAACAUAUUCACUUAUCCAACAUUCUGCCGGCCGGUUUAUGUUGGAUAAGUGAGACUCUACUGUACUGUAUUUACAAAUUUACCACUAAAAUAUCACAAUGAAUUUAAAACACUGACUACAAAAACAUUGAUUACGAAAAGGCAGACUGCGUUGGAUAAUCCAGAACAUUGUAUAAGCAAAUGUUGGAUAAGUGAGAUUCUACUUUAAUAUGAAAUAAUUACUGGGAUAGAAUAAUGCAGAACAAUAUAAUCUCUAAAACCAGGACAGUAAAUAAAGAGCAACAGUCUGAAAGCAGGGAAAUUGGAAAUUCCACAAACAAUCAGGGCCAGCUAACACCUCCCAAGAAAGGAUUCUUCCAGAAAGGAAGCUGAGAAGAGAGUGAAGCACUGUGUAUUACCAAAGUCAUUAUUAUUACUAUCAUUACUAUUAUUAUUAUUAUUAUUAUUGUGUUGCGGUCAACUGUGAAAAUGAAUACAAUCUGGCUCCAAGUAUUCAAAAACACUAAAAUCAGAAUAUAUAAAAAUUAAUGUGGUGUAAUAAUACAAUCUUUAAAAUCAGAACACUAAAUAAAGAACAACACUCUGAAAACGGGAAUUCCACACAGGAAACAAUCAGGGCCAGCUAACACCUCCCAACAAAGUAUUCCCAUCAUCAAAGUCUGGCAAAUCCUCUGUUUUCUCAGGGCUACAGACAGUAGAAGCACAUAAAAUAUCGCAAAGGACACCACUCUGAAAACAAGGGAAUUCCAGACAGGAAACAAUCAGGGCCAGCUAACACCUUCCCACAAAAUAUUCACUCAGGGAGGAAACAGCCAGGCUUUAAAGCUGCAAGGCCAUUACAUCCUAAUCAUUUUCCCUAAUUGCAGCAUUCAUACAAAAAAAAACCAAUCAGAAAUAUUUUAUAUUCACAAGCUUUAGGAAAUAAUAUCCCCUGAUGGCAUAGCGUGUUAAAGCUGCUGAACGAAGGGCCGCAGGUUUGAAUUGGGGGACCAGAGUGAGCCCUCAAUGUUAGCCCAGCUUCUGCCAACCCAGAAGUUCGAAAACAUGCAAAUGUGAGUGCAUCAAUAGGUACUGCUCCAGUGGGCAGUCAUCCCACAUGACCUUGGAGGAGUCUACGGACAACGCUGGCUCUUCGGCUUACAAAUGGAGAUGAGCACCAACCCCCAGAGUCAAACAUGACUGGACUUAAUGUCAGGGGAAAACGUUUACCCUUUACCUUAACUACCACCAAUUCCUCAAUACUUUAUUUCCCAUACCACCAUACUUCGCCACAGCAACGCGUGGCCGGGCACAGCUAGUAAUAUAAUAUAUGCUUCAUAGCUCUGUUGAAGAC
Long non-coding RNA from Anolis carolinensis (green anole), 2030 nucleotides. The record is from Ensembl. Lineage: Eukaryota; Metazoa; Chordata; Lepidosauria; Squamata; Anolidae.